GAUCAUGGCUCAGGAUGAACGCUAGCUACAGGCUUAACACGUGCAAGUCGAGGGGAAACGAUAUUGGAAGCUUGCUUCCGAUAGGCGUCGACCGGCGCACGGGUGAGUAACGCGUAUCCAACCUGCCCACCACUUGGGGAUAACCUUGCGGAAGUAAGACUAAUACCCAAUGAUAUCUCUAGAAGACAUCUGAAAGAGGUUAAAGAUUCAUCGGUGAUGGAUGGGGAUGCGU
RNAcentral lists this ribosomal RNA (232 nucleotides) under uncultured bacterium. Its description in RNAcentral is "partial 16S ribosomal RNA". It matches the Rfam family "Bacterial small subunit ribosomal RNA", at positions 15 to 236 of the family's 1533-position model. The record is from RNAcentral.